RNAcentral lists this long non-coding RNA (358 nucleotides) under Rattus norvegicus (Norway rat). RNAcentral describes it as "long non-coding RNA NONRATT023400". The record is from RNAcentral. Lineage: Eukaryota; Metazoa; Chordata; Mammalia; Rodentia; Muridae.
CUUUUCAGAGUCUCAUGGCCAGCAUCCUGUAUCAUCAGGACCUGGAUUCAAGCAUUCUGCCCCAAGAUCCCACAAGCUGGAAAGCCAUGAUAUUUGAGGACUGAUAUGCUGAAGUCCAGACUGUAUUUGUAAAUAGAUCCUUAAAGAAGGAUAAAACAAAGCUGAUGCAAUCUGAAUGGUAUCCUCAUGAGAUGAGAAGAUCAGGACACAGACAGGACCAGGGGUGACGCUCAUGCACAUAGAAGGCAGCUGUCUACAAGCCAAACAGAAGGACCCCUUGGAAACCAAACCCGCUGACACCUUAGUCUUGGACUUUUGCCCUCUUAAACUUCAAAAAAAUAAAAUUCUGUUGCUUAAG